Molecule: transfer RNA, 76 nt
Filed under: Synechococcus sp. JA-3-3Ab
Lineage: Bacteria; Bacillati; Cyanobacteriota; Cyanophyceae; Synechococcales; Synechococcaceae
Also listed under: 21 other names
Description: tRNA-Ala (TGC) (tRNA-Ala-TGC-1-1, tRNA-Ala-TGC-1-2)
Rfam family: tRNA
About the family: Transfer RNA (tRNA) molecules are approximately 80 nucleotides in length. Their secondary structure includes four short double-helical elements and three loops (D, anti-codon, and T loops).
Source: RNAcentral
GGGGGUAUAGCUCAGUGGGUAGAGCGCUGCCUUUGCACGGCAGAAGUCAGCGGUUCGAGUCCGCUUACCUCCACCA